Molecule: long non-coding RNA, 1345 nt
Organism: Frieseomelitta varia
Lineage: Eukaryota; Metazoa; Arthropoda; Insecta; Hymenoptera; Apidae
Exons: 4
Source: RefSeq, a predicted model, not a curated record
UCCGUUGAUCGAUCGGACGUCGAUGUCAGAAUCGAUCCCGGUGACAAUGAAGUCGAACUUUGAUACGUUACUCGAACAUGGUGGCGAAGCACGAAAGGCGUUGCUCCAAAGCUUUUUUCAUAUUCGUCGAUGACUAAUUGCAAGCACAAGGGGCAUCUGACGAAUAUAUAUCUAUAUACAUACGGAACAGAAUUUCUUAUGGAGGAAAGCGAUGUAACGCUACUCGAAGAAACACACACCUGUUUUGGUUUUACUUUGGCGGACUUGAGCGUUUCUUACUCCCCCAUCUCUCUUUUUUCCCGCCUUCGAAAAUGCAAGCAAAAUAUCGCAGCGAGCACGACGACGCAUUUACACGGGCCGUAUAUUAAUUUAACGAGAUUAGAAGCAUUUAUACAUAUAGUCAACGUUGUACGGAGGAUAAGAAAAAAGAAAAGAAACUGCCAGAAGAUUCCACUCUAUUUUUAUACUAAUUAAUGGACAGAAACCGAGCAUACCGCGAAAAUCAAAAUUUUUACUUUGCUAACUUUGUAUGCAAUGUUAAGUUCUAAAGAUAUCGACCUAGACUCGCUCAGCGUUCGAUUCAAUCGAGAACGAACUCGAUUCCAUUUCUCGGAACGCUCUUUCACCAUAUUUUCUGGGAAAACAUCUCCUUAGAGGGAAAGAGGCUUCCUUCGAUUGUCCAAUUACGAGUCGUCGAUUAAACUUUCGCCAAUUGGAUCGGUUGUGUCCAGCCUCGGACUUGCUUUACCUCUGUACGUCGUUCCUAAUCGUGCGUUGGCUAUUUCAGGCAAUGUCAAAACGCGCUAAUCUUAUCGCAUCUAUUCGUUCAGUGUGACGCGUGUUUCCUCGUAAACAGUUCUAUUUCGCAUCGUUGCUUGGAUACACAAAUAAUAUAGGCCAAAUAUUUUCGACGUGCAUGAUACGUCAUCUCAGCGUAAGAGGUUAGACUUUUAUUGAAGGGUCGUUAGAACCGCUUGAAAAAGUUUUCAUGAAUUCGAACUAGUUUGAAAGUAUCCUUGGAAGUAAGUAUUACACUGUUCUUCAGAUGUUUGAGAUUAGAUAGGAGAGAACAAAGUUUUGAAUUUAAAAGGAAUUCGGUCGUUGAUAUCAGAUGUUUAAAGCGCUUAAGGCUUUUAACCUAUUAAUCGGAUUAAAUCUAUAAUUAACUUAUGAUCGCAAAAUGGAAGAGACAAAUCAAUCUUUUGUAUUCACGAAUUGGUAGAAUUUAUUUUUAUAGCUGAAAUGAAAUUCCUUAUUCAAAUCUAUAAGUGAAAAAAUUAUGUAAUCUGUAUUAUGUACUCUGAAAGUUAAGUUCCUAUGAGAAGAAUUAAUUCGUUUUCCUCGG